GUAAGUGGCAAGCGUGUCCGGAAUUAUUGGGCGUAAAGCGCGCGCAGGGCGGUCCUUUAAGUCUGAUGUGAAAGCCCACGGCUCAACCGUGAGGGUCAUUGGAAACUGGGGGACUUGAGUACAGAAGAGGAAAGCGGAAUUCCAAGUGUAGCGGUGAAAUGCGUAGAGAUUUGGAGGAACACCAGUGGCGAAGGCGGCUUUCUGGUCUGUAACUGACGCUGAGGCGCGAAAGCGUGGGGAGCAAACAGGAUUAGAUACCCUGGUAGUCCACGCCGUAAACGAUGAGUGCUAAGUGUUAGGGGGUUUCCGCCCCUUAGUGCUGCAGCUAACGCAUUAAGCACUCCGCCUGGGGAGUACGGCCGCAAGGCUG
This 370-nucleotide ribosomal RNA is filed under the name uncultured organism. RNAcentral describes it as "partial 16S ribosomal RNA". It matches the Rfam family "Bacterial small subunit ribosomal RNA", at positions 527 to 896 of the family's 1533-position model. The record is from RNAcentral.